GCAGGGUGUAGUGGUGACACCUGUAAUCCCAGCAGCUCAGGAGGCUGAGGCAAGAGGAUCACAAGUUCAAAGCCAGCCUCAGCAAAAGCAAGGCGCUAAGCAACUCAGUGAGACCCUGUCUCUA
This 124-nucleotide small RNA is filed under the name Marmota monax (woodchuck). Lineage: Eukaryota; Metazoa; Chordata; Mammalia; Rodentia; Sciuridae. The record is from RNAcentral.